RNAcentral lists this ribosomal RNA (253 nucleotides) under uncultured bacterium. RNAcentral's name for it is "partial 16S ribosomal RNA". It matches the Rfam family "Bacterial small subunit ribosomal RNA", at positions 524 to 776 of the family's 1533-position model. The record is from RNAcentral.
UACAGAGGUCCCGAGCGUUGUUCGGAUUCAUUGGGCGUAAAGGGUGCGUAGGCGGCGGGGCAAGUCUGAUGUGAAAUCCUGGGGCUCAACCCCGGAACUGCAUUGGAUACUGCCUUGCUCGAGUACUGGAGAGGGAACUGGAAUUUACGGUGUAGCAGUGAAAUGCGUAGAGAUCGUAAGGAAGGCCAGUGGCGAAGGCGAGUUCCUGGACAGUUACUGACGCUGAGGCACGAAGGCCAGGGGAGCAAACGGG